GUGUCCGUGGUGUAGUGGUCUCUGCACAUCGGUCUGUGAAUCCGAAGGUAAGGGUUCAAUCCCCUUCGGGCACC
RNAcentral lists this transfer RNA (74 nucleotides) under Planctomycetaceae bacterium. Its description in RNAcentral is "tRNA-His". It matches the Rfam family "tRNA". From Rfam's summary of the family: Transfer RNA (tRNA) molecules are approximately 80 nucleotides in length. Their secondary structure includes four short double-helical elements and three loops (D, anti-codon, and T loops). The record is from RNAcentral. Lineage: Bacteria; Pseudomonadati; Planctomycetota; Planctomycetia; Planctomycetales; Planctomycetaceae.